GGCCAUUUGGAAGCUUGAGCUUAACAUUGGUCUUUGAACAAUUGAAAGCAGACUGAAAGCUAGCCACUUCACUAGUUGCUUUGAAUACAAAUAUGAAAGAAGAAAAUGAAGUGAUCGAAAACGUACCCUUCCCCUUCGUUAGAGAGCACGACUUACAGAUUACGUCUCAUUACUCAUUCAUAUGCACACACAUACAAGAGAUGCAUACACAUACAAGAGUACAAGAUAGGAAAACUAUACUAAAAACGAUGUGCUUGUCCUUGUCGAUCAAAAUCCAAAAAUGGAGCUGGAAAUAUUGACAAAUGGAUAAAUAUUCAUACCGUGUAUAUGCGACGUCAACGGGAAAGGCGCUAAUAAAAAUGCCAAGCUUAUCAAUUUUUCAUGUGGGUCUAGUGUUGAACAAUUGUGUAGUUUGUCUUGCUUUCUCUUCAAAAUAGUCAUUGAAAAUCUGUAUCACCAGCUGGCAGUAGCAUGCACAAAGUUUGCCGCCCAUGGAUUCAGGAAUGAGCUCCGGGUUGAAACGAGAAGUACUCGGCUAGCUAGCUAGCUAGCUACUCCCUAUGACACUAGUGAAGAGUACUCUACGUCUCUACCUGGAAUUUCUAUGUUGAAAUUUCACUCUUUAUCUUUUCAACAAUUAAACUCAAUCCAUGGUAAGAGUAACUAUCUCAGAUAGUCUGUUAGAUAAAAGACUUUGACUUAAAUGUUCUAGACGAAAAAGCAUACAUGCCGGGAAAACGCAAAAACUGUGACCUAUUCGAUCAAUUGGUUGCUAGCUAACUGGGUUUCUUUCCUACUGCCUCUUUUGUCUUUUUGCCCAUAAAUCAGUAGAGGUAAAGCUUCUUCCCCUUCGUUAGAUGUAGGGGUUUCAAUUGGUCGGUUCGAAUCGGUUAUAGAUACUACCAACUUGGAAACCAAAGUUUUUGGUUUAAUUAAGAUUUGAGGUACCAAUUACCAACCAAAGUUUUCGGUGUCUAAUUUUAUCUACCAAGUUCUGUUUUUUGGUUUUUGGUAUUCCCAACUCUACAACAAUAAUUCUUUAUAUUAUAAAAUACAAUGAAUUUUUUUUAAUAUAAAGUACAAUGAAAAAUACUAGUAUUUUUUUUUUCACAAACUCUAAGUAGUUUCAAGAAGACCGAAACCCUAUUCGGGUUUUGUGAGCAGGCUGCGGCGGGAGAUUUUGGCUUCGCGUACGUCCAGGCAGGAGGGCGGUGGCGACUUUGGUCUAAGCCUGCGCGGGGUAACAUACAAUCGACGAUUGGAGGUUUCUAUUCGUUUGGGAUCAAGAUCUUGUUUAUAGUGUGGCUAAGUGUACGUGAAGAAGACGAUGAAUCUGAUCUAGUUGUGAGUGAUGACCGUUGAGCUAUAGGGCAACGGCUUGUGGAGGCGGAGCACCUUGCAAGCUACGAGCUAGGGAGGAGUUCGAGGAAGAGCGGCUUAGCUCUGCGCUUUCCUGAUGGGCUGAUUUGUUGUUUUGCCCGGUGGCGAUCGCAAUUCGAACAUCAACGGCUCAAAGGCGGUGACAACUUGAUUUGGGUGCGUCUGCGUUUCGCUUUUGCCGCUCCCAUAGCUGAAGGACGCGUCCGCCCACCGGAGACUGACCAAUGACGGCUAGCUUGCAUGGUCCGAUCUGGAUAUCAAGUCUAAGUGGGUUGAGGGUUGAGAGGAGGCAUGUGGGAGUGGGCUAGGUCGUUUUGGGCCUGGGCUAUUUUCCCUCUUCUUUCUAUCUCACAGUUUUGUUUUUGGGCUUGUUGUUCCGGGUUUGAGUCAAUAUAUACGAGUACUGGGCUUUUGCGUAACCUUGUUCAAUGUUGUUCAUUGUUCUGACUGGUGGAGGGGUACACCAUGAAGGUCUCUAGGCCCCAAGCCAAUCAAGGUGGAUGCUGUGAAUUAGGGUUACAAAGAAUAAAUUAGUAUUUGGAUGUCCGCUUUUUUGGACGAAGUCUUUUGGUUUAGUUUCAUUGCACUACCAGGACAAGCACUUUAGCCGACGAAAAAUUUUUGUCGGCCUGUUAGCUUAAUUUGUCGGCUAAGAUUUCGUCGGGAAAAGGUCGUCUGUGAUGACUUUAGCCGACGAAAAAAAAAAUUUCGUCGGCUAUAGUCCCGCAGUUUAGCCAACGAAAAACAUGUCGUCGGUUUUUUUCCCAGACUUUAGCCGACGAAACAAUUAAGAUAUUCGUCGGCUAAAGUCUGUAAUAAAAAAAUUUUUCCCAAACUAUAGCCGACGAAAUAUAGUAUGUUUCGUCGGCUAAACCUUAUAAAAAAAUUUAAAAAAAUAACUAUAGCCGACGAAAUAUAGCCUGUUUCGUCGGCUAAACCUUAUAAAAAAUUUUAAAAAAUAACUAUAGCCGACGAAAUAUAGUCUGUUUCGUCGGCUAAACCUUAUAAAAAAUUAAAAAAUAACUAUAGCCGACGAAUUAUGGCAUAAUUCGUCGGCUAAACAUUAUAAAAAAAAUUAAAAAAUACUAUAGCCGACGAUUAUAGUAUUUAAAUAUCGUCGGCUAAAGUUGCUGGGUUUUGAAAAAAAAAACUGCAGAAACUUUCGGCCACCUCCAAUCACGACCAAAAUUUGACAGAAUCUUCCUCUCAACAUUUCGAACAACUUUCUAGAAGAAGUCGAAGCUCAAUUCUAAGCCUAAACAGAUCAAUCGACUCAAAAUAUAAAGAUCCCCAAUUUUAAACCCUAAAAACUUCAAAUCUUCGAUUCUCUUCACACACACCGAAUCGAGCUACCAAAUUCUAGGGGAAUGUAGUACUAAUCAAACUCAACUUAUCCAUAUAUAGAACUCACCAAAUGGUGACCUGAGGAAGGAGAAAUUCGAUCGACACCGAAUUCGAACCGGCGGAGUUUUGGAGCUCGAUUUAUCUCUCACGGCGACGCCACUCGAUGCACCACCUAUCCAGCAAUAAAGUAGAGACGACGGCGAAGCUUUUGGGACAAGUGUGGCGAUCUCCGGUGGCUUGACGGCGGAGCUAGGCCGAGAAGAAAAUCUGGCAGGCGAAAUAGACUUCUUACCAUCCACCUUCGGUAAUAUAAAGAACUUUAGCCGACGAAAUUCUUUAUUUUCGUCAGCUAAACUCUUUUGAAAAUUUUGAAAAUUUUGGUUGAUUGCCAAAAAAUUUUGGUUGAAAAUUUUGAAAAUUUUUCGACUUUAGCCGACGACUUUUCAUAUAUUUUCGUCGGCUAAAGUCUUUUGAAAAUUUUCCUCCAAAUUUGGUUUACCGCCCAAAAAUUUUUGACUUUAGCCGACGACUUUUUUAAUAUCUCGUCGGCUAAAGUCUAUAAAUUCACGAAAACGCUCAUAUCUCCCUCUAUAUUACGUAGUUUGGUCAAACCUUCCACACAAAAAACUUUCACGUAGAUGAGACGCAACCGCCUAUAUAAAAAUUUUGAGACAUUUGUCUUCCGACGAUAGAGCUCCCCAUAGGGAAUAAUAACGGUAAAUAGGGUUGACCGCUACUAUCGGCACCGAAACUUUACCCGAUUUACGUGAUUUUUGAACCAUAGACGUAUUUCACCAUUCUGAACACAUAUUAUUUCACGAGAUUUUUGAUAAUUUUGCUUCCUACAUAGAGUUGGUACACAAAGUUGUAUAACCUACUAAACAAGUUAUACAACAUUAGUAGACACGUUGUGAUUUCGAUGACUAAAAUUCACAAACCAAAAUUCGACCGUCAGAUAUGAUCAUUAUGACGAAAGAUGUCUAUGGUAAAAAAUUCAACUGGAUCCGACAACGUUAAGGACUCGAUCGAAACGGGUAACCCUAAUCCAUCGUCACUUAUCACACGAAAACGCUCAUAUCUCCCUCUAUAUUACGUGGUUUGGUCAAACCUUCCACACAAAAAACUCUCAUGUAGAUGAGACGCAACUGCCCAUAUAAAAAUUUUGAGACAUUUACCUUCCGACGAUAGGGCUCCCCAUAGGGAAUAAUAACGGUAAAUAGUAGACACGUGAUUCCAAUGACUAAAAUUUACAAACCAAAAUUCGACCGUCCGAUAUGAUCAUUAUGACGAAAGAUGUCUAUGGUAAAAAAUUCAACUGGAUUCGACAACGUUAAGGGCUCGAUCGAAAUGGUCAACUCUAAUCGGAAAUAAGAAAACUGCAUUUUGAAGCCCUAAACGGACUCGGAUGGCCAAAAAGGCCCAUACAUCAUGACAUUAGCGAUGAGUUUGACUCGUAGGGCCGUUACGCUUCCGGAAAGGUAUCACAAUAGUCAAUCGGACACCAAAAACCAAAUCUGCAGCAUAGUGAAUAAUAAGGGUAAAUUGUAUUGACCGCAACUAUCGGCACCGAGACUUUACCGGAAUACCGUGAUUUUUCAACUGUAGACGUAUUUCACCAUUCUGGUCAUAUAUUAUUUCACGACUUUUUUUGCGGUUUGAAGGUUCUACGUAUAGUUUUUUUUUCCCAGAUGAGUUGUUGUCUAGAUCUGCAAAUAUAAGACACUUUAGCCGACGAAAUUAUAUUUUUCGUCGGCUAAACUUUUAAAAAUUUCGUCGGCUAAAGUUCACAGACUAUAGCCGACGAAAAAAAUUAUUCAGAUGACGAAAUUUUAAUUUCGUCGGCUAAAGUUGACCAUAGCCGACGAAAAUUUUUAAUUAGCCGACGAAGGGAACUUUAGCCGACAAAAAAAUAAUUCGUCGGCCUGGUUUUUUUAUUUUCGUCGGCUAAAGUCUUUCUUCUGGUAGUGUUGUCCGCCUUUUUGAACUUCAUUUUCUUCGUAGGAUCAAGCCCGGUCCUUGCGCAGUGCUGCAUGUGCAACCGUAUUAGGCCGAGAACCAAAAAGGGCAAGAAAACAUUUCACACUUCUCUAAUUGCUUCAUCAGUUGACUGAGGUCUGCAAAAUUGCAAAUUCCUUUCAAUUCUGAAUAUAUAUAUAUACACUUUCAAAAGGUGUUGGUUUGGCUUGUCACUAGAGCCCACACGUGUGGAUGUGCUUUUUGUGGAUUGACAGCUAGCAAAGCUUGCAGCUAGCACACGUUUUUAUUCCUUUCGUAUAAUUGUAUGAAGUUAUACUAUAUUAAACAUUUAAACAAUUAAACUAGCUCUCACGUUUGAAGAUAUAUGUUACUGAUUAAAUAUUAAAAAAUAUUAUAAUAGAACUUGUAGUGAAUGUUAUAUAGAACUUGUAAAGUACUUAGGUUUAUCUAUUUUGUUCAAGAAAGAUUAGAAAUAUCUAUCGAAUUAAGAUACAUGAUGUAUCUAACAUAUACUAAGACUAAUAGACGUACGUUUCUUAAAGAUAUAAGGACUUUAUGUUAUUCUGCAAGUUUCUAUAGUUUUUAUUGAAGUUUUAUCGAUCUUGAUAUUUUCUCAAAAUUUCCAAGUUUUAGAUCAUCGGUAUUUCCACG
Molecule: long non-coding RNA, 5352 nt
Filed under: Fragaria vesca (wild strawberry)
Lineage: Eukaryota; Viridiplantae; Streptophyta; Magnoliopsida; Rosales; Rosaceae
Description: long non-coding RNA (FVES_LNC005586)
Source: RNAcentral